AUGAACGCUAGCGGCAGGCUUAAUACAUGCAAGUCGAGGGGGCAGCAAUGUCACCGGCGAACGGGUGCGUAACGCGUAUGCAACCUACCUACAUCAGGGGGAUAGCCCUAGGAAACUGGGAUUAACACCGCAUAAUACUAGACAUGGCAUCAUGAUUAGUUGAAAUAUUUAUAGGAUGUAGAUGGGCAUGCGUAGGAUUAGCUAGUUGGUAAGGUAACGGCUUACCAAGGCUACGAUCCUUAGGGGCUCUGAGAGGAGUAUCCCCCACACUGGCACUGAGAUACGGGCCAGACUCCUACGGGAGGCAGCAGUAGGGAAUAUUGGGCAAUGGAGGCAACUCUGACCCAGCCAUGCCGCGUGCAGGAAGACGGUCCUCUGGAUUGUAAACUGCUUUUGAAUGGGAAGAAUGUGCUCCUUGCGAGGGGUAAUGACGGUACCAUUAGAAUAAGCCACGGCUAACUACGU
This 465-nucleotide ribosomal RNA is filed under the name uncultured bacterium. RNAcentral's name for it is "bacterial SSU rRNA". It matches the Rfam family "Bacterial small subunit ribosomal RNA", at positions 29 to 506 of the family's 1533-position model. The record is from RNAcentral.